GAUAAAGAAAUAAUUGUUUUAUCGUGCAUCAGACUAUGUCAUGGGACGUCACAAUGGCAAAGAGCCUAGUAUAAAAAUUGGAGGAUGGGGUGGGGCAGCAGAGUGGGUUAGCAGCAUCCAGAGCUGGGCUUUAUCCAGCCCUAGGCCUCAGGGCAUCACCUUUGCCUUGGGACGAGAGGAGAGUGGUUUGGGCAGGAUGUGGACCCUCUGGCCAAUUUCCAGGCCACGGUGAGGCCAAGAGGGGGUGGGCUAUGUAAGGGCUGUGCCAGUUCCCCCUGGGACAGUUUGGAGCUGGGCAUGUCCAAAGAAGCUCCUUUUCCUGUGGCUGUGGAUUUCUUUGAUCUCUGCAGCACUGGCGGUGGUUGGCCUGGGCAGUGGUUCCUAGAAUUUGGUCUCAUUAACCUAGGUCGCAACCUUCAGAACCCCAGGAAGAUCAGCUUUAGGAACUCCCUGGCAGGUGAAAAGGGCAGUUCCCAUCAUACCAGCAUCCAGCCUGGACCUACUGUUCCCUGGAUGGGGAGAGUGGCUCAGCUCUUUCCUCUGGGAGGGGAGGGGUCCUCAUUGUUCCCUCUUUCUGGGUCUAGCCUCUGCUAGUGAGGCAUAGUAUUUUUUUUGGGCUUAGUAGACAGCUGAACAGCCAGCCAGGGGAGCAGCGGACCCAGCUGGGCAGCUGUGGCGACAGUUGGAUCAGCUUUCAUCCACAUCAGAGCUGGCCUGCCCCAAGAUUAUCAACCACAUUUGAAUGUGGCUCCAGCACCUCACUUGGUUUUGGCUUCCUCCUUGUAUGGACAUUGAGCAGAGAUCUUGGCUGGGGGCCAAGGGUGUUGACCCUCUUUUCAUGAGGGAGCCAACACUAGGAGGCACAAACCACAAUGCCUGGAGAAGAGUUUCUGCAGGCUGGAGCCCAUAUUCCGAAUCUCGGACGUUGAAUUCAGCCACUGAACACAGGAGCCAGGAGCUUGGAGUCUGGGAACCCCAAGUGGGGGAUCACAGAGCAUAAAAUCUCCGACCUGAAACUUAGAGCCCCAGUGUGGGGGCAGUCUGGAAAGUGGGCUUACAGCAACUUCCUCUGGUGAUUGGGAGCCCAUCUGAGAAGCAGAUGGGUCAAGGGCAAGGUCUUGAUCCAUGCAUGUCCUUCUCACAAGCCUGGGCGGGGCUCGUGAUGGUUUGGCGGUUGUACAGGGUCAGGCCCAGGCUCAGACCCAAGAAGACCUGCAGUUUCUCUACCUUUGGGUACAAGAACCAAGGAGGAGGCUUGGCUGGAGGACUCUUCUGGCCCUGCCUGUCCAUCCAGCUUGCUGUGAGAGGUCUGGGGAGCACUGCCGUCUCUGAUGUCAGAUGGGCAUUAGCAUUCUUGGUUUGUCUGCUUCCCAGGACUGUUGUGGCCAUCAAGUGAGAUGGCCUGUACAGGGCCUAGAACACGUAGUAUUUGCUCAAUAAAUUGUGUUGAGUAAGAUAAUGGGAGAGGACUUUAUUGCACAGCCCUUUCCUCCCUCCCUCUCGCAGGUGUGUGUGUGUGUGUUUUCCUUUUUCAGUUUCAUGGAGGAACAGUGCUGUGAAAGGUGACUCAGGGGCAUGACUGCAAAGGCACAGCCCUUUCCUCCCUCUCUCUCGCAGGUGUGUGUGUGUGUCCGUGUGUGUGUGUGUGUGUGUGUGUGUGUGUGUGUGUGUGUGUUUCAGUUUCAUGGAGGAACAGCGCUGUGAAAGGUGACUCGGGCAUGACUGCAAAGGCACAGCCGGGAUCCCUGGUCCAGGAUGGCAGCCUAUAUGCCUGCCUAGGUGGGUCUGGGGAGUGGUUAAGUUUCCUCUUCCCAGGGGCAGGCUGGGGCAGGCUGGGUUCUAGGGUGGGACUUCAGUCGUCUCUUGCUCUCAUCUCCCUCUUCUUGCCUGGAAGGACCCACAGAUAUCGAACCUCUAGCUGUCCAUGUAAGGGCUGAAAUGAACCUGGUGCCCUUGACCUGGUAUCUGCUUGUUCCCUUUCUCAGGGCAUUUGAGAGACAUGGCUUCUAGGCUCAAGCUGCCAGGAGUCCAUGUGUAUGUGUGCUGGAGAGUUAAGAGUUCUUUUUUCCAGAGGGUGUGACUUCCAUCAAGUCGGUACCUAUUUUCCCUGCCAUAAGGCCCCCUCUUCCCCGAUGACACGGUCAGUAGCCAUGUGGUGGUAAUACUCCUUGUUACUCCACCUUAGGUCUGCAAGUAGAAAAACGGACACAGAUAACAACUGAGUGGUCAGUGGCAGCCACAUGCGGGCAGCCAGCGGCACGAGCAAGGUCCCUUUGGUCAGUGGCAGCCACAAAG
RNAcentral lists this long non-coding RNA (2295 nucleotides) under Homo sapiens (human). Its description in RNAcentral is "HSALNT0002970". The record is from RNAcentral. Lineage: Eukaryota; Metazoa; Chordata; Mammalia; Primates; Hominidae.